This 558-nucleotide long non-coding RNA is filed under the name Elaeis guineensis (African oil palm). Its description in RNAcentral is "long non-coding RNA (EGUI_LNC040206)". The record is from RNAcentral. Lineage: Eukaryota; Viridiplantae; Streptophyta; Magnoliopsida; Arecales; Arecaceae.
CCUCCCUCAAAACAUCCCGCAGCCUAGCAACCGCUUCCACAUGUUCCUCUAGCACCUCUCGGGCCGGCACGCCAAGCCUAGAGACCGCAGCCACCACGCUACCCUCAGCUUCAACGCCACACCUGCCAGCACCACAGUCGGAUCCGUCCGCCACCACAAGCCCUCCCUCGCCGUCAGGGCCACCGCCAGCAGCACCACCGCCCAGACGCUCCACAACAGCCGGCGCCCGCUCGAUCGCACCACCGCCAACCACCCCAGCCGGCGCGGUGGCAGACAAAGCCGUCGGAGCAGACUCCCCGUAGCACAGAGCCACCGCCAGAGGCCGAUCAGCACCCGCUGCCGCAAACUCCCCGGACUCCAGAGUCAAAGCAACGCCGAGGACCAGCGCCGCCUCCGUCGGAGCGACGGAGCCCCAACCCCAGACCCAGGAGCUCGAGUGGGAGACGCAGGGCCACCAAACACCGCAACAGGCCCAGGAUUAGGCGCUGAUCCACUGCCCGCCCGCUUCUUGGGCCCCGGACUCCGAGCCCUCUUCAGAUGGGCCGCGCCCACGCCAGC